CCCUUAGAUGUUCUGGGCUGCACGCGCGCUACACUGAUGCACUCAACGAGUUUACAACCUUAUCCGGAAGGAUUGGGUAAUCUUUUGAACGUGCAUCGUGAUGGGGAUAGAUUAUUGCAAUUAUUAAUCUUCAACGAGGAAUUCCUAGUAAGCGCAAGUCAUCAGCUUGCGCUGAUUACGUCCCUGCCCUUUGUACACACCGCCCGUCGCACCUACCGAUUGAAUGGUCCGGUGAAAUCUCCGGACUGGCGUGAGUCGGAGCAAUCUGACAAACGCCGGAAAGUUGAUUAAACCUUACCAUUUAGAGGAAGGUGAAGUCGUAACA
Molecule: ribosomal RNA, 325 nt
Filed under: uncultured eukaryote
Lineage: Eukaryota
Description: partial 18S ribosomal RNA
Rfam family: Eukaryotic small subunit ribosomal RNA
Source: RNAcentral